UACAGAGGACUCAAGCGUUGUUCGGAUUCAUUGGGCGUAAAGGGGGCGUAGGCGGCGCGGUAAGUCGGGUGUGAAAUCUCGGAGCUUAACUCCGAAACUGCAUUCGAUACUGCCGUGCUUGAGGACUGGAGAGGAGACUGGAAUUUACGGUGUAGUGGUGAAAUGCGUAGAUAUCGGGAGGAACACCCGUGGCGAAGGCGACUACCUGGCCUGUUCUUGACGCUGAGGCGCGAAAGCUAGGGGAGCAAACGGG
This 253-nucleotide ribosomal RNA is filed under the name uncultured bacterium. Its description in RNAcentral is "partial 16S ribosomal RNA". It matches the Rfam family "Bacterial small subunit ribosomal RNA", at positions 524 to 776 of the family's 1533-position model. The record is from RNAcentral.